GACGAACGCUGGCGGCGUGCUUAACACAUGCAAGUCGAACGGAAAGGCCCUGCUUUUGUGGGGUGCUCGAGUGGCGAACGGGUGAGUAACACGUGAGUAACCUGCCCUUGACUUUGGGAUAACUUCAGGAAACUGGGGCUAAUACCGGAUAGGAGCUCCUGCUGCAUGGUGGGGGUUGGAAAGUUUCGGCGGUUGGGGAUGGACUCGCGGCUUAUCAGCUUGUUGGUGGGGUAGUGGCUUACCAAGGCUUUGACGGGUAGCCGGCCUGAGAGGGUGACCGGCCACAUUGGGACUGAGAUGCGGCCCAGACUCCUACGGGAGGCAGCAGUGGGGAAUAUUGCACAAUGGGCGGAAGCCUGAUGCAGCAACGCCGCGUGCGGGAUGACGGCCUUCGGGUUGUAAACCGCUUUCGCCUGUGACGAAGCGUGAGUGACGGUAAUGGGGAAAGAAGCACCGGCGAACUACGU
Molecule: ribosomal RNA, 467 nt
Filed under: uncultured bacterium
Lineage: Bacteria
Description: partial 16S ribosomal RNA
Rfam family: Bacterial small subunit ribosomal RNA
Source: RNAcentral